AAAUGAAGGGGUUCUGAGGCUCUCCAGUAGGGGAGCACAAGGAAUGCUUAGACAGGAGGAGGGCCAGGGGAUUCUCACCCUCUCUGAUGCUCUACCUGCUGCACUUCACUGUGUGGGUAACAGAAGUAGAGUCUGGAUAACUAACAAUAGAAGCUUCUUUGGCUCUUGGCCGCUGACAGAGAAGUCCAAGAACAUUCAUUGUUCUGAGCAGGGCCUUUAAGUGGAGGCACAGCGUGUCAGAAGGGCAAGGGGACAUGUGCAAGAUGGAAGAAACUGGCUGUUGGUUGGUGUGGACAACUCCUCGUAUUUGGUGCCAGAAAUACUAGUCCUGCUAAUUUCAUUAUGGAGCUUGUCCAGAAACCCCUGGAGAUCCGUGGGAUUUUAGAAGAUAAAAGAAUAAAGCAGUGGUUCUCAACCUGCCUAAUGCUGAGAUGGCUUUAAUAUAUAUAGUUCCUCACCAGCAGCCGUUUGCACCAGGGAGCCAGGAAACUCCAUAGCCUUCUGUGCAUAGCCGCCAGGAGGGAGUGAUCUCCCAGCAGGUUUUCACUUUUGAGCACAGAGGUGAGAUCUCCACCUUCUCUUUGAAGGGGACCCAGCUAGAAGCAUAUAGGGCCUAAGAUCAGUGAAGCAGCUGGGACAGAAGUCUUCCCUGCUGGGGAGCCAGGAAACUCCACAGUCUUCUGUGCAUAGCCCACCAGGAGAGAGAGACAGAGAUCUCCCAGCAGUGCUUUCACUUCUGAGCUCAGAGGAGUAAGGACACAGGCUUACAGGCCCACAGGAGGAACAAACUCCAGCCAGAGACAACAAUACCAACUAGCACCAGAGAUAACCAGAUGGCGAAAGGCAAGCACAAGAACCUUACCAACAGAAACCAAGGACUCAUGGCAACAUCAGAACCCAGUUCUCCCACCACAGCAAGUCCUGGAUACCCCAACACAUGGGAAAAGCAAGAGUUGGAUUUAAAAUAGUAUCUCAUGAUGCCUAUAGAGGGCUUCAAGAAAGACUUAAAUAAUUCCCAUAAAGAAAUACAGGAGAACAUCGGUCAACAAGUAAAAACCCUUAAAGAGGAAACACAAAAAUCCCUUAAAGAAAUACAGGAGAUCAUGGGUCAAAAGGCAGAAGCCCUUAAAGAAGAAACACAAAAAUCCCUUAAAGAAUUACAGGAAAACACAAACAAUCAAGUGAAGGGACUGAACAAAAGCAUCCAGGAUCUAAAAGUAGAAGCAGAAACAAUAAAUAAAUCACAAAGUGAGACAUCUCUGGAGAUAGAAAACCUUGGAAAGUAUUCAGGAGUCAUAGAUGCAAGCAUUAACAACAGAAUACAAGAGAUAGAAGAAAGAACCUCAGGUGCUUAAGAUAGCACAGAAAACAUUGACUCAACAGUCAAAGAAAAUGCAAAAUGCACAAAGCUCAAAACAUCCAGGAACUCCAGGACACAAUGAGAAGACCAAACCUAAGGAUUAUAGGUAUAGACAAGAGCGAGGAUUUACAUCUUAAAGGCCCAGUAAAUAUCUUCAACAAAAUUGUAGAAGAAAACUUCCCUAACCUAGAGAAAGAGAUGCCCAUGAACAAACAAGAAGACUUCAGAACUCCAAACAGACUGGAUUAGAACAGAAACUCCUCCCGGUACAUAAUAAUCAAAACACCAAAUUCAAUAAACAAAGAAAGAAUAUUAAAAGCAGUAAGGGAAAAAGAGCAAGUAACUUAUAAAGGCAGACCUAUCAGAAUCACACCAGACUUUUCACCAGACGAUGAAAGCUAGAAGAUGCUGGGCAGACCUUAUACAGACCCUAAGAGAACACAAAUGCCAGCCCAGACUAUUAUACCCAGCAAAACUCUCAAUCACCAUAGAUGGAGAAAACAAGAUAUUCCAUGAUAAAACCAAAUUUACACAAUGUCUGUCCACAAAUCCAGCCCUACAAAGGAUAAUUGAUGGAAAAUGCCAACACAAGGAGGGAGAUUACACCCUAGAAAAAGCAAGAAAGUAAUCUUCCAACAAACCCAAAAGAAGAUACCCACACAAAUAUAAAAAUAACAGGAAGCAACAAUCACUAUUCCUUAAUAUCUCUCAACAUCAAUGGACUCAACUCCCCAAUAAAAAGACAUAGACUAACAAAAUAUUUCUCAUGUAAAUCUUCAAUUUUAUCAGAAAAUGUUUGUAAUUCCCCUUUUAAUUAACUUAGUAAUUUCUUUUAUGUCUACCAUUUUAUCUGCAUUAUUUUCAUGAUAACCUUCAAUUUUAAUGUCUUUCUAUAUACUUUCUCCAUUUUAUCAGAAAUGUUUCCAAUGUAAAUCUUUGAUUUUAUCACAAAUGUUUCUAAUUCCACCUUCAAUUAAUUUAGUUUUUACAUCAACCAUUUAUGUAAAAAUUUCCAAGAAAUAGUAAAUUUUAACGUGUUUGUCUUUUUAUUUCUUGAAUUUUACCAGAAAUAAUUUCCAUGUAAAGCUUCAAUGUUUUCUGAAAAUGUUUAUAAUUCUAUCUUCAAUCAACUUAGAAUUAUCUUUAUGCCUAUCAUUUUAAUUUCCAUGAUAAUCUUUAAUUUUAACAUGUUUGUCUAUAUAUGUCUACAAUUUUAUCAGAAAUAUUUUCCAUGUAAAUCUUCAAGUUUAUCAGAAAAUGCUUAUAAUUCCAUUUUUAAUCAACUUAGGAAUACUUUUAUGCCUACCAUUAUUAUAUCUGUAUAAAAUUUUCCGUGAUCAUUUUCAAUUCUAACAUGUUUUUCUACAUUUUCUCCAAUUUUAUCAGAAAUAUUUU
Apodemus sylvaticus (European woodmouse) is the source of this 2755-nucleotide long non-coding RNA. RefSeq lists it as uncharacterized. Lineage: Eukaryota; Metazoa; Chordata; Mammalia; Rodentia; Muridae. The record is from RefSeq and is a predicted model, not a curated record. The transcript has 3 exons.